UACGUAGGGCGCAAGCGUUGUCCGGAAUUAUUGGGCGUAAAGAGCUCGUAGGUGGCUUGUCGCGUCUGCCGUGAAAGCCCAUGGCUUAACUGUGGGUCUGCGGUGGAUACGGGCAGGCUGGAGGCUGGUAGGGGCAAGCGGAAUUCCUGGUGUAGCGGUGAAAUGCGCAGAUAUCAGGAGGAACACCGGUGGCGAAGGCGGCUUGCUGGGCCAGUUCUGACGCUGAGGCGCGAAAGCUAGGGUAGCAAACGGG
This 253-nucleotide ribosomal RNA is filed under the name uncultured bacterium. RNAcentral describes it as "partial 16S ribosomal RNA". It matches the Rfam family "Bacterial small subunit ribosomal RNA", at positions 524 to 776 of the family's 1533-position model. The record is from RNAcentral.